This 252-nucleotide unclassified non-coding RNA is filed under the name uncultured fungus. RNAcentral describes it as "sequence contains ITS2". The record is from RNAcentral. Lineage: Eukaryota; Fungi.
AACGCACAUUGCGCCUAAGAGUAUUCUUUUAGGCAUGCUUGUUCGAGCGUCGUUUAAACUCAUAAGGCUUUGCCUUUUGUUGAAGCAUUGGGCUGAAUGUAGUCCAAGUUUCCAAAAUAGUUGGCAAUUGUAAUGAUAAUAAUCCAAUACGCAGCGAUAUGCGAUAAUUUGAUAUAUAUCAUAUAAUGAUUAUGCCAAUAAACUACCAAAAAGUUCGACCUCGAAUCAAGUAAGAUUACCCGCUGAACUUAA